Molecule: long non-coding RNA, 1345 nt
Filed under: Volvox carteri
Lineage: Eukaryota; Viridiplantae; Chlorophyta; Chlorophyceae; Chlamydomonadales; Volvocaceae
Description: long non-coding RNA (VCAR_LNC002485)
Source: RNAcentral
AUAGGCCUUAGCUUCAAUUAAGUAGGUAGGGCCGCCCGCCUCAUCUGUCCUGGUUCGAUGAUUGAAGGUUUGAGGCUUCAGCAGUAGGCUUUCCGAGCCGUUUCCACGCGUUUCUGUAACGCCCAGCACCAUCCUUAAAAAGCCAUAACGUAUGUCCAUGUCUUAGCUAUGAAAAGCUUUCAGAUAUGGAGCGGCAUGAUGGAAGUUGGGAUGAGUUCGUUGGAACUACUACCCCGGGGGCACCCAGGCACGUCGCAGCAUAUCCUCGCCUCUCUGGGAUUGAGCAUUCUUAGUCUACAGGAAACGCGACGGCUACUUUAAAAGCGCUGAAAGGAUAUCAACUGGCCGAAGGCAGGCGUCACAGCACGUGGUUUCGGUGUCGGGCAGAAGUUCCCUGAAGUUCAGAUUGAAAUGGCGGAUCCUGCAUUGCGUGCGCCUGUUUACUAGUAAGAGUGGUGCCGCGUCACACUUUUAGGCCACAAAUGAAAAUCGUAGGAAGAAAGUCACAGUGAUUUAAUUCCUUUCGCACCGCAUUCUAGAAGCGCCAAAGCCCUAGCUUGACCACAACGUCCACAGAGCCCACUCCCGAUGCCACACUAAUCCCACAAAAAUCAGAAUAAUAAAGUCUUUGCGCCCAUUCCACGUACAUUCCCACGUCCGAGCCAUGCUUGUCUUGCGAAUCCGUGCCGUAGAUUUGACGGUUACAGUUUCUGGUCUUUGAAUGCAUAACUGCCCUAGCUCAGCCCCAGGUUUUCCAAACUCACAUCUUAGCCCUUUGGCAGGCAACCCCACCGUAUGGCAGGUGCACUCAUAAUCUGAGGACUGAACGGCGCGGUUAAGCCCAACCCAUGCAACAUGACAGUGCCCACCCUAAAAAGCAGUAUGAGGACAGAUACAGGCCUUAGGGGAGCCCAUGAUAAAAUUAAAGGGUCGACAAGAGCUUUCCGAAUCUGCUUUUAAAUCUUGUAUGUACAGUUGUACGACAUUAGUUAUCGUCUUCCGAAGUCCGUUGCACGAAAAGUUGGGUUCGGAGCUCCCCAAAGUCAUAUUUGUUUUGUGUUCAAUGCGUUUUUUAUAAUAUAAUGCAAUUUUGCUCAUCACGUCUACCAUUCCCACAUCUCCCUCACACACCCCACCCUGUGUGUGCGCCUCCUCCUCUCUGUCCUGGCGCAGCAGCUGAUCUCGGGUUUUCAGGCCCCCGCAGCAAUCCAUCUCGCGCAAAAGGCACGACGGGGCGCGCUGGAGAACCAGACCGAACAUCAAGGAGCGCCGGACCGACGGAUCGCCCGCCACCCCGUCUGCCGUAUCAAACCGGUCGGAAACCGCGCGCCACCCGCGACUCCAG